AGACUGAACGCUGGCGGCAUGCCUAACACAUGCAAGUCGAACGGCAGCACAGCAGUAGCAAUACUGUGGGUGGCGAGUGGCGGACGGGUGAGGAAUACAUCGGAAUCUACCCUGUCGUGGGGGAUAACUAGCCGAAAGGUUAGCUAACACCGCAUACGACUGUGAGGUGAAAGCGGAGGACCUUCGGGCUUCGCGCGAUUGGAUGAGCCGAUGUCGGAUUAGCUAGUUGGCGGGUAAAGCCCACAAGGCGACGAUCCGUAGCUGGUCUGAGAGGAUGAUCAGCCACACUGGGACUGAGACACGGCCCAGACUCCAGGGAGCAGCAGUGGGAAUAGUUGGACAAGUGGGCGCAAGCCUGAUCCAGCAAUGCCGCGUGUGUGAAGAA
RNAcentral lists this ribosomal RNA (385 nucleotides) under uncultured soil bacterium. Its description in RNAcentral is "bacterial SSU rRNA". It matches the Rfam family "Bacterial small subunit ribosomal RNA", at positions 26 to 412 of the family's 1533-position model. The record is from RNAcentral.